RNAcentral lists this ribosomal RNA (468 nucleotides) under uncultured bacterium. RNAcentral's name for it is "partial 16S ribosomal RNA". It matches the Rfam family "Bacterial small subunit ribosomal RNA", at positions 28 to 507 of the family's 1533-position model. The record is from RNAcentral.
GACGAACGCUGGCGGCGUGCUUAACACAUGCAAGUCGAACGGAAAGGCCCUGCUUUUGUGGGGUGCUCGAGUGGCGAACGGGUGAGUAACACGUGAGUAACCUGCCCUUGACUUUGGGAUAACUUCAGGAAGCUGGGGCUAAUACCGGAUAGGAGCUCCUGCUGCAUGGUGGGGGUUGGAAAGUUUCGGCGGUUGGGGAUGGACUCGCGGCUUAUCAGCUUGUUGGUGGGGUAGUGGCUUACCAAGGCUUUGACGGGUAGCCGGCCUGAGAGGGUGACCGGCCACAUUGGGCCUGAGAUACGGCCCAGACUCCUACGGGAGGCAGCAGUGGGGAAUAUUGCACAAUGGGCGGAAGCCUGAUGCAGCAACGCCGCGUGCGGGAUGACGGCCUUCGGGUUGUAAACCGCUUUCGCCUGUGACGAAGCGUGAGUGACGGUAGUGGGUAAAGAAGCACCGGCUAACUACGUG